This 292-nucleotide ribosomal RNA is filed under the name uncultured bacterium. RNAcentral describes it as "partial 16S ribosomal RNA". It matches the Rfam family "Bacterial small subunit ribosomal RNA", at positions 505 to 796 of the family's 1533-position model. The record is from RNAcentral.
GUGUCAGCAGCCGCGGUAAUACGAAGGUGGCAAGCGUUGUUCGGAUUUACUGGGCGUACAGGGAGCGUAGGCGGUUGGAUAAGCCCUCCGUGAAAUCUCCAGGCUUAACCUGGAAAGUGCAGAGGGGACUGUUCAGCUAGAGGAUGGGAGAGGAGCGCGGAAUUCCCGGUGUAGCGGUGAAAUGCGUAGAGAUCGGGAGGAAGGCCGGUGGCGAAGGCGGCGCUCUGGAACAUUUCUGACGCUGAGGCUCGAAAGCGUGGGGAGCAAACAGGAUUAGAUACCCUGGUAGUCC